GUUGCUAUGAUGAGCUGUAUCAUGUAAGGAGAUCUUUCUCAGUUGAUUGAGCUUCAAUGAAAUUUGCAUCUUUACGCUUGGCUUCUGAGCUUA
Small nucleolar RNA from Zingiber officinale, 93 nucleotides. RefSeq annotates it as small nucleolar RNA R24. The transcript has a single exon. The record is from RefSeq and is a predicted model, not a curated record. Lineage: Eukaryota; Viridiplantae; Streptophyta; Magnoliopsida; Zingiberales; Zingiberaceae.